GGCAGUCAUCAGCCCCUGGUGCCAACCCCCAACCCUGCUUAACUCCAGCCACCUGGCAGAGGUGGGCGGAGGGGAAGAGCUGGGCGGCUGCACGGGUCGGGGUCCCGAUACACACACUCUCUGCUUCCGCACAGAGCGGUCCUGGCAGCCCCGUGGUGCGCUCAGCUGCCACCACUUCACUGUGGGCUCCCUUCAAGGCCCCUUCUUUCCUCCUUGAUGCUCCACUCACUCAUGGCCACAUGGGGCAGAUGGGAAGGGGCCAGAGUCUGAGGCAGGGACCUCAGGAUCUGCCCCAGCUGCAGAAGCUGAUAAGAAGACUGAGCUUAGCUGGGAAAUGGGAGGCACAGUGGACAGUGAGAGAGAGAGAGAGAAAAGUCUUCCUUUUUCUGUUGGUUCACCCCCCUCAAUGGCCGCUGCGGCCAGUGCACCGCACUGAUCCGAAGCCAGGAGCCAGACGCUUCCUCCUGGUCUCCCACGUGGGUGCAGGGCCCAAGCACUUGGGCCAACUUCCACUGCACUCCCAGGCCACAGCAGAGAGCUGGACUGGAAGAGGAGCAACCGGGACAGAAUCCAGUGCCCUGACCGGGACUAGAACCUGGGGUGCCGGCGCCGCAGGCAGAGGAUUAGUCUAGUGAGCCGUGGCGCCGGCCAUAAGCAGGGAAGUUUAAGAUAGGAAUUUUCACCCUAAAGAGCAAAGGGCAUCUUUCAAAGAAGGGUAACCAUUUAGUGUUUCCGCAGCUUCUGGCUUCUCUGAGCACAGGACCCUCCCUGGCCCACCCAUGGAGUGCUUGUUAGAAAGCUGACAAAACAGCCCAGCUGGGGAAAUGUUGCUUUGGCGGCUUUUCCGGGAAUCUGCCUGCUCAGGUUUGACUGGCUUGUCCCCUCUGAAAGCUCAUGUUGAAAUUUAAUUCCCAUUCCCAUUGAGAGGUGUGAAGAGGGUGGAAAAUCUCGCUAGAGCAUCCACAGGUAGGGGCUUUGGGAGCUGAUUAGCACUGGAUCAGAUCAUCAGCACAGACUGGAUCCUGGUGGCUUUAUAAGGGACGAGCCCAUCACACUCCGCGCUCUGUGGCUUGACUCGCGUGGCGUCCUGUGCCGCUUCAGGACUCUGCCAGCAAGAAGACCAUCACCAGAUGCAGCCCAUUGACUUUGAACCUUCAGAAACGACCGUGUAUCCAUCACUCAAGAACUGUAUUGUACCUGUUCCCUGCUUCGAGUGAUCCUCUCGGACAGCAGAUCCGAGUUGUUCCUUUCCUCUUCCAGCUCCAUCUCCAGCUGAGACACCUUGUCCUGAGAAAGACCACAAACAUGCACCACGUAACUUACACUGAUCUGGAUUAGCAGCAAGGGUUGCCCCAAAUGCAAAUGAGACGUGAGAGUGACUGGAGUUCAGAAACACGAGCCAUCUCCUCCUUCCACUGCCCGGAGCAGGUACUCUUGGAACUACGUUUUCUUGCUUUCAUAACAUAAAAUGAAAUUGUGCAUGUAGAAAACACAGCAAAAAGAGUACCCCUAACCUAAAGGCUAAUGACACUUUAGCGUUUCUCCUUUAAAAUCACUGUCCUCCCUAUAAAUCAGUAACUCUAACAGCAACUUGGUUAGGUAGGUUUGUUUAAAGACAUUUUUUCCCUAAAUUUAUCAUGCUCAGAACCAUGUAUCUCUCCCCCGCUCAUGGUUUCCAGCAGCCUUGCCCUGCCUCUCUUGUAGAAAAUCCCAUCCGCCUUGUACUGUGCAUUGAAUUAACACAGACAAUGCAGGCCAAUACUGUGAAAUUCAUCAUCACUAAGAAUAACAAAUUGUGUCUUCCUUGUUGGCUUCCAAUUUAACCUCAUUGUGUAUUAAGGCAAGAUUAGUUUUGUGUAUAAAAAGGGGAAGAGGGGCACUUCUAACACAAACCAUGCUCUUAAGAACUGGGGGGAUACAGGCUUUGUGCAUGCAACGCCAGCCAAUGUGUCAAAUGUCUGGGUAAGCUCAGAGCCACAAACUCUAAAAUGCAACUGGCAUGCAUGAGCGUGUAGUAUUUAUACACAGAUACUGUUUUCUGUAGUUGCCAGAGUUGAUUGACAAAUGGUAGAUGCCUCUGGAAAGCAUCAAAUGCAAGUGCACAGAACUCACAUCAAUGACUUACAUGGCUGUAAGUGGUCAAAAUCUACAGGGAUGCCUGGGAGCUCUCAGAACAGAGCUGGGUGCUGAACCAAAGGCUCGUAGCUGCUCAGUAGGUCUCAAUUUCUCCAAGGUCAAUUUCACUGAGCUCCAUUUACAUACCACAGCCGCCUGAAUUUCUGAGUUUACAGAAAAUGCCCAUUAUUGAGAGAGCUCUUGAGUCCCGAGAAUUAAUUUGUGAAAUGCUAACAAGGGAACAGCAAGACAUCAGUCACAGCAAGACAGUGCUUCCGGCCACCUCCUGGGGCAUGAACCGCCCCCCUCAAGUGUGCAUCACAGUGGCAGGGCCUGGAGAGUCAUUUUGUAAUUAAUGGAGAAGUUAUCUGAAAUAUUGCACAGGGGCAAAUGAAGCUUAGCUAUUCCACUGCUUCCAGACUGUAAGUCAGCCAGAGGAAAUGCUGGUUUUACUCAGAAUAGUCUAGAAGGAGACAAUGUGGUAACCUGAUCAACACCAUCAGGAAGGUGUGUUCUACAAAAUCCACACUGUGCGGAACCCAGCAGGUGCAUGCAGGGUGCCCAGGCCAGAGCUGCCAACACCAAAGCUGCUUCUCAUUGAUGAGGCUGUAGAAACCAGGUCAUUCUGGCCCCCUAAAGUAACUCAUUUCUAGUUACCUGGGAUGAUUUCCACUUGCUUUAAACUGAUCUCCCUUAAAAAGAUCAAAAUAACGACAUGAGCAAAAUGUACAACCAGCCUACAAUAGAGUAGUGAACCCGUAAUCAGGUUAGUCAGCUCUCUGAAGGAGGCCCCAUCUAAUAACAUCUUCAACACUGAAACAUCAGUCCCUAGGUAUAAACACUUACGAAAUCCUCUGCAGGCUGGAAAAAGUCAUUUCUGUUUAUCUGCAAGGUUGAAUUCCAUUGAUUUUGAAUUCAAGUUUCUCCCCCCGGCCUUGAGUCCUGUCUGUCUGACAUCAAAACCAUGACAAUAUUAACCUCUCCCCAAGAGUCUGAGGCUUUCUCUUAGUCUCUCCCCGUAAGUCCCAGUGUGGUUCUGGUUUGAGGUCAGUGUUGUUCCUGGGGACUGGCUUUAACGUUCUUCCUGUCAUCGUCAGCAGACUGUUCCUAUUCAGACUCUAUCCCUUUGUUUAGGUUCUUCUUGUGUGUUGUGUCUUCAGCCUGUGACCACAUCCUCCCCCCUCCCCCCCAGCUGAGGACAACACUGAGCUCUUUCUGAUACAGUGUUCUGGAUUCUGUGUGCAACAAUGACUUGAGCCACAGUUUGUUGCCAGCUCUGGCAAAGCUGUAUACUCUGGGAGAAAUGGACCAGAAACAGAAGUACGUAGAAUUGAGUGCUGACGGUCCCUAGGAGGUAGCUGGUUUGGGUCUAGGGUGUCGGCUCAGCCCCUGUCCUGACACACGGCAGUCUUUUCACCUUUUAGUUGGAAGCUCUGCCCAAAAGCAUAAAUGGAAGUAAACCACCUGUGUGCUUGUGCCUCUCACCUAACCUCUUGGGGAGUAGGCUCCAUCUCCUUUCAAGACUUCAGAGUAAAUGAUGUCCCCUUCAUUCCUUCUAGCACUGACAUCCUCUAAGACUAUGAACUACCAGCUUCUUCCCACACCAAGAAAUGACCUUCCUAAGGCCUGGAAGUUGAAAGGAAUAAAAAUGCAGCCCUUGCCCAAGGCUGAGGGCGUGCAGAGAGGCAGGGCUCCCCCCCUGGGGCCGGGCCCCCGCCCACAGACCUCCAGCUGCUUCACCAGUCUGCCUCGGUCAUCCCUGAGGUGACUCUUGGCCUCCAGCUCAUACUCCAGGUCUUUCAGCGUCUGCUCCAGGAGCUGCCUCUUCGUGAGUGCUUCGUCCUGAGCUCUCUGGUAGUCCCGUAACUCUUCCUCCAUCAGGCGCAUCUGGGGCGGGGGCAGACAGCAGACAGCAAGAGCACAGGCUGAGCCCAAAGGCAAGGAGCUCUGGGGGUGCCCACUCCGCAGGAGACCUUGAGCAACUCCCACCUGCUCCUGCGUCUUAGUGUCCUCUUCCAUUAAAGAAAAGGGGAGUGUCUUCCUGCUACAAGAAGCAACUUACUGCAUUAAAAGGUCAAUUUAA
Molecule: non-coding RNA, 4198 nt
Organism: Oryctolagus cuniculus (rabbit)
Lineage: Eukaryota; Metazoa; Chordata; Mammalia; Lagomorpha; Leporidae
Source: RefSeq, a predicted model, not a curated record